UGCAGGGCAACCCAUCUUGUGCGCGGGGCCUCUAGUAUUCCAAUGAUCAGCAACCCUUGCAGGGCGGACAUUGGAGCCCAUUCUGCAGAUGAAGAAACUGAGUUCCCAGAGAGGCCAGGGAUCAUGCUGGAGUCUGACACUGGGCCGUAUGACCUCACUACACAGCAUAGCCCCUCUGGGCAGAGCCAGAAGAAGGUCCGACUUCAGGCACCUGUAGAUGGUCCGGUUGACAGCCCCAGGCUCCGCCCAGCCGACAACCAGUAUCAGCUACCAGCCAAGUGAGUGUGUCGAAUUGGACAUCCAGCCCAGUCGAGCCUUCGGAUGAUGGCAGCCCCACCCAACAACUGCCUGGGAACCCCCCAGCGAGACCUGCCCAGCCACGGGGUGACACCUGAGUUUCAGGAUGGCUGGCUGCUGAGCUCACAUGUACCUGGACAGUCAAGUUCCUGGUUCAAGUCCAAGAGGAAGGCAGGAGCGUGGCCAGGUGCCUCAGGAGAAGGUUGGGCCAGGUGAGCUGGAACUCGCGGAGUCACCCGGCAUGGGCACCUUCCUCUUCCUCUCGCCCUGUGCUCUGGGCGGACGGCGGGGCUCUAGGCCGCACACACCUUGAUCCCUUCAGUGUGAUCCACAGAGUGAGUCAGAGACCGGUGUUUGGACAAGGCUGCUAUAUAUCAUUUGGCUCAUGGAUUGGGAGAACUCCGUGUGCUCUUUUUUAAUAUCCUGAGUCCACCUA
Molecule: long non-coding RNA, 733 nt
Organism: Myotis davidii
Lineage: Eukaryota; Metazoa; Chordata; Mammalia; Chiroptera; Vespertilionidae
Exons: 3
Source: RefSeq, a predicted model, not a curated record